RNAcentral lists this ribosomal RNA (1240 nucleotides) under Salmonella enterica. RNAcentral's name for it is "partial 23S ribosomal RNA". It matches the Rfam family "Bacterial large subunit ribosomal RNA", at positions 1067 to 2290 of the family's 2925-position model. RNAcentral also lists the same sequence under 1 other name. Lineage: Bacteria; Pseudomonadati; Pseudomonadota; Gammaproteobacteria; Enterobacterales; Enterobacteriaceae. The record is from RNAcentral.
GAAACGAUGUGGGAAGGCCCAGACAGCCAGGAUGUUGGCUUAGAAGCAGCCAUCAUUUAAAGAAAGCGUAAUAGCUCACUGGUCGAGUCGGCCUGCGCGGAAGAUGUAACGGGGCUAAACCAUGCACCGAAGCUGCGGCAGCGACACUGUGUGUUGUUGGGUAGGGGAGCGUUCUGUAAGCCUGUGAAGGUGUGUCGUGAGGCAUGCUGGAGGUAUCAGAAGUGCGAAUGCUGACAUAAGUAACGAUAAAGCGGGUGAAAAGCCCGCUCGCCGGAAGACCAAGGGUUCCUGUCCAACGUUAAUCGGGGCAGGGUGAGUCGACCCCUAAGGCGAGGCCGAAAGGCGUAGUCGAUGGGAAACGGGUUAAUAUUCCCGUACUUGGUGUUACUGCGAAGGGGGGACGGAGAAGGCUAUGUUGGCCGGGCGACGGUUGUCCCGGUUUAAGCGUGUAGGUGUGUGUUCCAGGUAAAUCCGGUUCACUUUAACACUGAGGCGUGACGACGAGGCACUACGGUGCUGAAGCAACAAAUGCCCUGCUUCCAGGAAAAGCCUCUAAGCAUCAGGUAACAUCAAAUCGUACCCCAAACCGACACAGGUGGUCAGGUAGAGAAUACCAAGGCGCUUGAGAGAACUCGGGUGAAGGAACUAGGCAAAAUGGUGCCGUAACUUCGGGAGAAGGCACGCUGACACGUAGGUGAAGUGAUUUACUCAUGGAGCUGAAGUCAGUCGAAGAUACCAGCUGGCUGCAACUGUUUAUUAAAAACACAGCACUGUGCAAACACGAAAGUGGACGUAUACGGUGUGACGCCUGCCCGGUGCCGGAAGGUUAAUUGAUGGGGUCAGCGCAAGCGAAGCUCCUGAUCGAAGCCCCGGUAAACGGCGGCCGUAACUAUAACGGUCCUAAGGUAGCGAAAUUCCUUGUCGGGUAAGUUCCGACCUGCACGAAUGGCGUAAUGAUGGCCAGGCUGUCUCCACCCGAGACUCAGUGAAAUUGAACUCGCUGUGAAGAUGCAGUGUACCCGCGGCAAGACGGAAAGACCCCGUGAACCUUUACUAUAGCUUGACACUGAACAUUGAGCCUUGAUGUGUAGGAUAGGUGGGAGGCUUUGAAGUGUGGACGCCAGUCUGCAUGGAGCCGACCUUGAAAUACCACCCUUUAAUGUUUGAUGUUCUAACGUGGACCCGUUACCCGGGUUGCGGACAGUGUCUGGUGGGUAGUUUGACUGGGGCGGUCUCCUCC